RNAcentral lists this ribosomal RNA (484 nucleotides) under uncultured bacterium. Its description in RNAcentral is "partial 16S ribosomal RNA". It matches the Rfam family "Bacterial small subunit ribosomal RNA", at positions 30 to 507 of the family's 1533-position model. The record is from RNAcentral.
AUUGAACGCUGGCGGCAGGCCUAACACAUGCAAGUCGAGCGGAGGAAGGGAGCUUGCUCCUGGAUUCAGCGGCGGACGGGUGAGUAAUGCCUAGGAAUCUGCCUGGUAGUGGGGGAUAACGUCCGGAAACGGGCGCUAAUACCGCAUACGUCCUGAGGGAGAAAGUGGGGGAUCUUCGGACCUCACGCUAUCAGAUGAGCAUAGGUCGGAUUAGCUAGUUGGUGGGGUAAAGGCCUACCAAGGCGACGAUCCGUAACUGGUCUGAGAGGAUGAUCAGUCACACUGGAACUGAGACACGGUCCAGACUCCUGCGGGAGGCAGCAGUGGGGAAUAUUGGACAAUGGGCGAAAGCCUGAUCCAGCCAUGCCGCGUGUGUGAAGAAGGUCUUCGGAUUGUAAAGCACUUUAAGUUGGGAGGAAGGGCAGUAAGUUAAUACCUUGCUGCUUUGACGUUACCAACAGAAGAAGCACCGGCUAACUUCUUG